GAUGAACGCUGGCGGCGUGCUUAACACAUGCAAGUCGAACGGAAAGGCUAGUGCUUGCACUGGUACUCGAGUGGCGAACGGGUGAGUAACACGUGGGUGAUCUGCCCUGCACUUCGGGAUAAGCCUGGGAAACUGGGUCUAAUACCGCAUAGGACCAUCGUUUCGGCUCGGUGGUGGAAAGUUUUUCGGUGUGGGAUGAGCUCGCGGCCUAUCGGCUUGUUGGUGGGGUAAUGGCCUACCAAGGCGUCGACGGGUAGCCGGCCUGAGAGGGUGUACGGCCACAUUGGGACUGAGAUACGGCCCAGACUCCUACGGGAGGCAGAAGUGGGGAAUAUUGCACAAUGGGCGCAAGCCUGAUGCAGCGACGCCGCGUGGGGGAUGACGGCCUUCGGGUUGUAAACUCCUUUCGUCAGGGACGAAGCGAAAGUGACGGUACCUGGAUAAGAAGCACCGGCUAACUACGUG
RNAcentral lists this ribosomal RNA (465 nucleotides) under uncultured bacterium. RNAcentral's name for it is "partial 16S ribosomal RNA". It matches the Rfam family "Bacterial small subunit ribosomal RNA", at positions 28 to 507 of the family's 1533-position model. The record is from RNAcentral.